CCUUGUACCUGAGGGCCUAGGACGCUCACAAAGCUACAGGUAUAAAUGUAGAACUCAAAAAGUGGCACGAGCCUCAGCAACAUUGGGGAGAGGGUCGUGCAACACAAACAAGAGCCUCUCGCUCGCUCGUCUUGGUAGAGCCACACACAGACACACCAAACAACAGCCAGACAACAUUACAGAGGAGACACAGAGACUACACAAGAAAGACAAAUAAAUUGUGAUAGAACUUACCUCUUGUACACAGAGAAUAUACAAGGUCCAUAAGACGGCGUAUUGUGCCGGACUCAUGUUGGUGUGCGCGUGUGUGCGUGUGCUUUUGGACACCAGUCUGUAGUACGUCCACGUUCUUCCGUCUCACUAUAAAUUCUAAAGUCGGGGGUUUAUCACGCAAAACACUUCUUCUGCCAGCCAGCCGACGAACAGCUUCCCUUCGCGCGAAGCCGCUCAGUCCCGCCCCUUUUUUCCACUGAUUGACAGCAGCGGCUGAAAAGAAAGAAAAAAAAGGGAGAGAGAGGGGAGUUAUAAAAAAAAAAAAGCCGGCUUGUGGACACUUAA
Non-coding RNA from Biomphalaria pfeifferi, 558 nucleotides. NCBI's taxonomy places the organism in Eukaryota, Metazoa, Mollusca, Gastropoda, Planorbidae. The record is from the annotation of a GenBank genome assembly.